RNAcentral lists this ribosomal RNA (466 nucleotides) under Vreelandella stevensii. Its description in RNAcentral is "partial 16S ribosomal RNA". It matches the Rfam family "Bacterial small subunit ribosomal RNA", at positions 338 to 795 of the family's 1533-position model. The record is from RNAcentral. Lineage: Bacteria; Pseudomonadati; Pseudomonadota; Gammaproteobacteria; Oceanospirillales; Halomonadaceae.
CCUACGGUGGUGCAGCAGUGGGGAAUAUUGGACAAUGGGCGAAAGCCUGAUCCAGCCAUGCCGCGUGUGUGAAGAAGGCCUUCGGGUUGUAAAGCACUUUCAGUGGGGAAGAAAGCCUUGGGGCUAAUACCCUCGAGGAAGGACAUCACCCACAGAAGAAGCACCGGCUAACUCCGUGCCAGCAGCCGCGGUAAUACGGAGGGUGCGAGCGUUAAUCGGAAUUACUGGGCGUAAAGCGCGCGUAGGCGGUCUGAUAAGCCGGUUGUGAAAGCCCCGGGCUCAACCUGGGAACGGCAUCCGGAACUGGCAGGCUAGAGUGCAGGAGAGGAAGGUAGAAUUCCCGGUGUAGCGGUGAAAUGCGUAGAGAUCGGGAGGAAUACCAGUGGCGAAGGCGGCCUUCUGGACUGACACUGACGCUGAGGUGCGAAAGCGUGGGUAGCAAACAGGAUUAGAUACCCUUGUAGUC